UACGUAGGGCGCAAGCGUUGUCCGGAAUUAUUGGGCGUAAAGAGCUCGUAGGCGGUUUGUCGCGUCUGCUGUGAAAACCUAAGGCUCAACCUUGGGCUUGCAGUGGGUACGGGCAGACUAGAGUGCGGUAGGGGUGACUGGAAUUCCUGGUGUAGCGGUGAAAUGCGCAGAUAUCAGGAGGAACACCGAUGGCGAAGGCAGGUCUCUGGGCCGAUACUGACG
This 222-nucleotide ribosomal RNA is filed under the name uncultured bacterium. RNAcentral describes it as "partial 16S ribosomal RNA". It matches the Rfam family "Bacterial small subunit ribosomal RNA", at positions 524 to 745 of the family's 1533-position model. The record is from RNAcentral.